GGAACUGGGAUGCCCAGCCGUUGGCCUAGCUGACUAGACACUUGAUAAAAUAGUUUCAUAGUAGAGGCCAAACUCAAGAUGCACCGCACAAUGUGAUGCAUCAUGAGCACCAUCCAUCAUAUGAUGGAUAGCUACACAUGAUCGUGCACGAUAUGCAUUGUAUUGCCCACAUUCAUAUACGAUCGGUCAUGUAUGGUAUGCAUCGCACAGUUCGCAUCCACAUACGGCCGUCCAUCUUGUGAUGGAUGGUGUAUGCGAUAAACUAUACUAUUUGGUGCACUGUAAAGGAUCU
RNAcentral lists this long non-coding RNA (292 nucleotides) under Elaeis guineensis (African oil palm). Its description in RNAcentral is "long non-coding RNA (EGUI_LNC069003)". Lineage: Eukaryota; Viridiplantae; Streptophyta; Magnoliopsida; Arecales; Arecaceae. The record is from RNAcentral.